UGGGAUCGCCCUUACUCCUACGGGAGGCAGCAGUGGGGGAUAUUGCACAAUGGAGGAAACUCUGAUGCAGCGACGCCGCGUGAGCGAUGAAGUAUUUCGGUAUGUAAAGCUCUAUCAGCAGGGAAGAUAAUGACGGUACCUGACUAAGAAGCCCCGGCUAACUCCGUGCCAGCAGCCGCGGUAAUAAGGGCGAUCC
This 196-nucleotide ribosomal RNA is filed under the name uncultured bacterium. Its description in RNAcentral is "partial 16S ribosomal RNA". It matches the Rfam family "Bacterial small subunit ribosomal RNA", at positions 320 to 539 of the family's 1533-position model. The record is from RNAcentral.